CGGGGUGGCGGCGGCCGGUUCCCCACGGUGGCGGCCGGAGCAGCGGCUGCAGGAGCCCGGCUCUAGGAUGAAGUUCAAGCCCAACCAGACGCGGACGUACGACCGCGAGGGCUUCAAGAAGAGGGCGGCCUGCCUGUGCUUCCGCAGCGAGCAGGAGGACGAGGUGCUGCUGGUGAGUAACAGUGGGUACCCAGACCAAUGGAUUAUCCCAGGAGGAGGGAUGGAGCCGUAGGAGGGGCCUGGCAGUGCUGCUGUGAGGGAAGUGUAUGAAGAGGCUGGAGUCCAAGGAAAAUUAGGCAGACUCCUGGGAAUAUUUGAGAAUCAAGACCGGAAGCACAGAACAUAUGUUUAUGUUCUGACCGUCACUGAAAUAUUGGAAGACUGGGAAGACUCCGUGAAUAUAGGAAGGAAGAGAGAGUGGUUCAAAGUACAAGAUGCAAUCAAGGUUCUUUAGUGUCAUAAGCCUGUCCAUGCAGAGUACCUGGAAAAACUAAAGCUGGGGUGCUCUCUGACCAAUGGAAAUUCCUCAGUCCCUUCCCUCCCAGAUAACAACGCCUUGUUUGUGACUGCUGCACUGCCCUCUGGGGUGCCAUCCAGUAUAAGAUAG
Non-coding RNA from Mus caroli (Ryukyu mouse), 607 nucleotides. Lineage: Eukaryota; Metazoa; Chordata; Mammalia; Rodentia; Muridae. The record is from RefSeq and is a predicted model, not a curated record.